RNAcentral lists this ribosomal RNA (250 nucleotides) under uncultured bacterium. RNAcentral describes it as "partial 16S ribosomal RNA". It matches the Rfam family "Bacterial small subunit ribosomal RNA", at positions 29 to 269 of the family's 1533-position model. The record is from RNAcentral.
AGCGAACGCUGGCGGCGUGCUUAACACAUGCAAGUCGAACGUGAAAGUAGCAAUAUGAGUAAAGUGGCGUACGGGUGAGUAACACGUGGGUAAUCUACCUUAGAGUCUGGAAUAACCGGCCGAAAGGCUGGCUAAUACUAGAUAGUUCAAGUGCACUGUAGAGGUGCGAUUGGGAAAGGGAGCUCGCAAGAGCCUUCGCUUUAAGAUGAGCCCGCGUCUGAUUAGCUAGUUGGUAGGGUAAAGGCCUACC